Molecule: ribosomal RNA, 726 nt
Filed under: uncultured fungus
Lineage: Eukaryota; Fungi
Description: SSU rRNA
Rfam family: Eukaryotic small subunit ribosomal RNA
Source: RNAcentral
AGGACGGCGCUCCUAUUUUGUUGGUUUCUAGGAGAGCCGUAAUGAUUAAUAGGGACAGUUGGGGGCAUCCGUAUUCAGUUGUCAGAGGUGAAAUUCUUGGAUUUACUGAAGACGAACUACUGCGAAAGCAUUUGCCAAAGAUGUUUUCAUUAAUCAGUGAACGAAAGUUAGGGGAUCGAAGACGAUCAGAUACCGUCGUAGUCUUAACCAUAAACUAUGCCGACUAGGGAUCGGGCGAUGUUAUUGUAUUGACUCGCUCGGCACCUUUCGAGAAAUCAAAGUGUUUGGGUUCUGGGGGGAGUAUGGUCGCAAGGCUGAAACUUAAAGAAAUUGACGGAAGGGCACCACCAGGAGUGGAGCCUGCGGCUUAAUUUGACUCAACACGGGGAAACUCACCAGGUCCAGAUACACGUAGGAUUGACAGAUUGAGAGCUCUUUCUUGAUUGUGUAGUUGGUGGUGCAUGGCCGUUCUUAGUUGGUGGAGUGAUUUGUCUGCUUAAUUGCGAUAACGAACGAGACCUUCAUCGUUAACUAGCCCGGCUCGCCUUGGCGGNUCGCCGGCUUCUUAGCGAGACUUUUGGCUUCAGCCAAAGGAAGUUGGAGGCAAUAACAGGUCUGUGAUGCCCUUAGAUGUUNUGGGCUGCACGCGCGCUACACCUGANCAGAGGCAACGAGUUUCGUUCCCNUGGCCGGAAGGCCCUGGUAAUCCAUGUAANCUCNNUCGCC